UAAUAUCUUCAGGGCGGGGUGUAAUUCCCCACCGGCGGUAAAGCCCGCAAGCCGUAAAUGGCACGAUUCGGUGAGAUUCCGAAGCCGACAGUAAAGUCUGGAUGGAAGAAGGUUGAA
This 117-nucleotide non-coding RNA is filed under the name Clostridium cellulovorans. RNAcentral's name for it is "FMN sequence". It matches the Rfam family "FMN riboswitch aptamer (RFN element)". From Rfam's summary of the family: The RFN element is a highly conserved domain that is found frequently in the 5'-untranslated regions of prokaryotic mRNAs that encode for flavin mononucleotide (FMN) biosynthesis and transport proteins. RNAcentral also lists the same sequence under 1 other name. The record is from RNAcentral. Lineage: Bacteria; Bacillati; Bacillota; Clostridia; Eubacteriales; Clostridiaceae.